This 74-nucleotide transfer RNA is filed under the name Nanobdellota archaeon. RNAcentral describes it as "tRNA-Glu". It matches the Rfam family "tRNA". From Rfam's summary of the family: Transfer RNA (tRNA) molecules are approximately 80 nucleotides in length. Their secondary structure includes four short double-helical elements and three loops (D, anti-codon, and T loops). Further hydrogen bonds mediate the characteristic L-shaped molecular structure. tRNAs have two regions of fundamental functional importance: the anti-codon, which is responsible for specific mRNA codon recognition, and the 3' end, to which the tRNAs corresponding amino acid is attached (by aminoacyl-tRNA synthetases). tRNAs cope with the degeneracy of the genetic code in two manners: having more than one tRNA (with a specific anti-codon) for a particular amino acid; and 'wobble' base-pairing, i.e. permitting non-standard base-pairing at the 3rd anti-codon position. The record is from RNAcentral. Lineage: Archaea; Nanobdellati; Nanobdellota.
GUGGCGUUAGUUUAGUCUGGUCAGAAUAGCGGUCUUUCACAUCGCCGACAUGGGUCCAAAUCCCAUACGCCAUA